This 446-nucleotide long non-coding RNA is filed under the name Fukomys damarensis (Damara mole-rat). RNAcentral's name for it is "lncRNA (ENSFDAG00000032169.1)". The record is from RNAcentral. Lineage: Eukaryota; Metazoa; Chordata; Mammalia; Rodentia; Bathyergidae.
AUGCAGUUGCCGGGGAAACCGUUUUCACCUCUGUGCAGGGGCAGCACCAAGAGGAAGAGCCUGGGGUGUGGAAGGGGGGGCAGGGAGCCCUUAGGGGAGCUGGGGGAGCUGAGGCAACCAGCGAAGAAGGGGACCGACCGGGUCAUGAGCCCGAACGCCCGGGAAGGUGGCGGCCCAGGAGCCAAGCGCGGGCCCGGAACGCAGAUUCCCAGGCCCUGCUCUGGGGCCAAGGAAGGUGUGAGGAGAAACCCGCGAUGUGCUGAACACGGAACCAAGGGUCUCUCACAUGUCAGGGAAGAGCUCCAGCUGGCACUACACUCACAGACCUUCGUAGUAAAACUUGACAACGACCACAGAUUGCAUUACAGUGAGAAAAUACUUUCAAAAUUAUAAACUUAGCAGAAAGCACGCUUUGAGAAGAAGCAAGAUAUAUAAUGUACAGGAGC